GAGGUAUAAAUAGAGGAAUACAUUGGAGAGAAACACAUCUCUAUUUAAGAGUUACUCUAUUUUAGAGAUAAAAAUAGGGAAUACAUUAGAGAUAGUCUAAUAUGUUCAUAUUAGAGUAGAUUCCUCUCAGCAAAACUAACUACGUUUUUUUGAUUAAAACAUCAAAACUAAGUUUGACCAGACUUUUCUCUUUUAACUUCUUACGUUGUACUUUCGUUAAUAAGUUUUUUUUAAAAUAACUGUACCAUAGUUAACGUUUCUAAUCUAUGUACGUAGUAGAAACACAAUAAUCAAAUUAGGUUGAGUGAAUAUUUUUCAGUAAUACCAUUUAUAUUCGGUAUGCAUAAACUGAAUUACAUCUCUAACAUUAAUAAUAACAUUUUUAUUGUUCUCUUAUCAAAAUAUUUUGUGAGCAGACUAUCCAAUUAUUUAAUUUUGGACCAGUUGCUUAUAUUGACACUGACAUAGUAUUUG
This 474-nucleotide long non-coding RNA is filed under the name Brassica napus (rape). RNAcentral's name for it is "long non-coding RNA (BNAP_LNC023192)". Lineage: Eukaryota; Viridiplantae; Streptophyta; Magnoliopsida; Brassicales; Brassicaceae. The record is from RNAcentral.